GCACUAGUAGCUCAGCGUCAGAGCGCCGCCCUUGUAAGCCGGUGGCCGGAAGUUAAAAUCCUCCCUCGUGCU
RNAcentral lists this transfer RNA (72 nucleotides) under Nealotus tripes (black snake mackerel). RNAcentral describes it as "tRNA-Thr". It matches the Rfam family "tRNA". Rfam says of the family: Transfer RNA (tRNA) molecules are approximately 80 nucleotides in length. Their secondary structure includes four short double-helical elements and three loops (D, anti-codon, and T loops). The record is from RNAcentral. Lineage: Eukaryota; Metazoa; Chordata; Actinopteri; Scombriformes; Gempylidae.